This 149-nucleotide unclassified non-coding RNA is filed under the name uncultured Mortierella. Its description in RNAcentral is "sequence contains ITS1". The record is from RNAcentral. Lineage: Eukaryota; Fungi; Mortierellomycota; Mortierellomycetes; Mortierellales; Mortierellaceae.
UAAUAAGUGUUCUACUGCACUUUUUAAAAAUAGUACUCACCUUGUGUGCAAUGUUUGUUAGACUCUUUCGGGAGUCUGACAUUUAUACCAACCUUUUAUAUUUUGAACCACUUUGUCUGAAAAAUAUUAUGAAUACUUAAUUCUAAAUA